This 446-nucleotide ribosomal RNA is filed under the name uncultured bacterium. RNAcentral describes it as "partial 16S ribosomal RNA". It matches the Rfam family "Bacterial small subunit ribosomal RNA", at positions 338 to 795 of the family's 1533-position model. The record is from RNAcentral.
CCUACGGGUGGCAGCAGUCGAGAAUCAUUCACAAUGGGGGAAACCCUGAUGGUGCGACGCCGCGUGGGGGAAUGAAGGUCUUCGGAUUGUAAACCCCUGUCAUGUGGGAGCAAAUUAAAAAGAUAGUACCACAAGAGGAAGAGACGGCUAACUCUGUGCCAGCAGCCGCGGUAAUACAGAGGUCUCAAGCGUUGUUCGGAAUCACUGGGCGUAAAGCGUGCGUAGGCUGUUUCGUAAGUCGUGUGUGAAAGGCGGGGGCUCAACCCGCGGACGGCACAUGAUACUGCGAGACUAGAGUAAUGGAGGGGGGACCGGAAUUCUCGGUGUAGCAGUGAAAUGCGUAGAUAUCGAGAGGAACACUCGUGGCGAAGGCGGGUUCCUGGACAUUAACUGACGCUGAGGCACGAAGGCCAGGGGAGCGAAAGGGAUUAGAUACCCUUGUAGUC